RNAcentral lists this transfer RNA (75 nucleotides) under Lachnospiraceae bacterium. Its description in RNAcentral is "tRNA-Glu". It matches the Rfam family "tRNA". From Rfam's summary of the family: Transfer RNA (tRNA) molecules are approximately 80 nucleotides in length. Their secondary structure includes four short double-helical elements and three loops (D, anti-codon, and T loops). The record is from RNAcentral. Lineage: Bacteria; Bacillati; Bacillota; Clostridia; Lachnospirales; Lachnospiraceae.
UGCACCAUCGUCUAAUUGGAAUAGGACACCAGCCCUUCAAGCUGGAGAUUGCGGGUUCAAGUCCCGUUGGUGUAA